GAAGGAUGAGCUUGAUAUUGUGAUACCUACAAUCAGAAAUCUUGAUUUUUUGGAGAUGUGGAGACCCUUUUUCCAGCCAUAUCAUCUCAUCAUUGUUCAAGAUGGUGACCCUUCAAAGACCAUUAAUGUCCCUGAAGGAUUUGAUUAUGAGCUUUAUAAUCGUGAUGAUAUUAACAGGAUUCUUGGACCAAAAGCUUCUUGUAUAUCUUUUAAGGACUCUGCUUGUAGGUGC
RNAcentral lists this unclassified non-coding RNA (232 nucleotides) under Hevea brasiliensis (rubber tree). Lineage: Eukaryota; Viridiplantae; Streptophyta; Magnoliopsida; Malpighiales; Euphorbiaceae. The record is from RNAcentral.